RNAcentral lists this ribosomal RNA (492 nucleotides) under uncultured bacterium. Its description in RNAcentral is "partial 16S ribosomal RNA". It matches the Rfam family "Bacterial small subunit ribosomal RNA", at positions 29 to 507 of the family's 1533-position model. The record is from RNAcentral.
AGUGAACGCUGGCGGUAGGCCUAACACAUGCAAGUCGAACGGCAGCACAGUAAGAGCUUGCUCUUACGGGUGGCGAGUGGCGGACGGGUGAGGAAUACAUCGGAAUCUACUUUUUCGUGGGGGAUAACGUAGGGAAACUUACGCUAAUACCGCAUACGACCUACGGGUGAAAGCAGGGGAUCUUCGGACCUUGCGCGAUUGAAUGAGCCGAUGUCGGAUUAGCUAGUUGGCGGGGUAAAGGCCCACCAAGGCGACGAUCCGUAGCUGGUCUGAGAGGAUGAUCAGCAACACUGGAACUGAGACGCGGUCCAGACUCCUACGGGAGGCACCAUUGGGGAAUAUUGGACAAUGGGCGCAAGCCUGAUCCAGCCAUACCGCGUGGGUGAAGAAGGCCUUCGGGUUGUAAAGCCCUUUUGUUGGGAAAGAAAAGCAGCCGGUUAAUACCCAGCUGUUCUGACGGUACCCAAAGAAUAAGCACCGGCUAACUUCGUG